UACGUAGGGUGCGAGCGUUGUCCGGAAUUAUUGGGCGUAAAGAGCUUGUAGGCGGUUUGUCGCGUCUGCUGUGAAAUCUCAAGGCUCAACCUUGAGCUUGCAGUGGGUACGGGCAGACUGGAGUGUGGUAGGGGAGAAUGGAAUUCCCGGUGUAGCGGUGAAAUGCGUAGAUAUCAAGUGGAACACCAGUGGCGAAGGCGAGUCCCUGGACAACUCCUGACACUGAGGCACGAAAGCUAGGGGAGCAAACAGG
RNAcentral lists this ribosomal RNA (253 nucleotides) under uncultured bacterium. RNAcentral describes it as "partial 16S ribosomal RNA". It matches the Rfam family "Bacterial small subunit ribosomal RNA", at positions 524 to 776 of the family's 1533-position model. The record is from RNAcentral.